Phyllostomus hastatus (greater spear-nosed bat) is the source of this 732-nucleotide long non-coding RNA. RefSeq lists it as uncharacterized. The record is from RefSeq and is a predicted model, not a curated record. The transcript has 3 exons. Lineage: Eukaryota; Metazoa; Chordata; Mammalia; Chiroptera; Phyllostomidae.
UCGGUUGGUUAGAUGUGCUCCGGCUCACGCUCAGACUUAAGGGGCUGGCUAGAGGUGAUGAUGAAGGACGCCCCCUACCACCUGCUACCUUUCUCAGCACCCCAAUCCCGUACGCUCGCGACAUCGGCUGAGAUUCCUAUGCCCAGAGUGGAUCUGCCCUCUUCACCUGGGUGUCCAUUGGAUUCCGGGCCAAGGUUUCCCUGCAAAAUCGGGAUGACAAAGUGUAACCACAUUUAGGGCGACAGAUGCUAAAGGCAACUGCAUCGCAUUCAACUGGGAAAAGGGGCUUGCGAUGCACCCUGAGCCUGUCACUGACUACCUUCCUCGACUGCAGCACAAAUCCAGGCAGUCACCUCAAGAGCAGUGCCGAAGACCAACAUCAGGGACCUUGAGUUCCCCUCUCUUGUUACUACUACAUGCUGAGCAACUGGAAGAAAACAGCUUGACUUGGUUCCUUAUUUCACUUCCCUCCUGUACUGUAAAAGGAUAGCCGGGAAACCUGAGCAAACACGUGUUUGCUACCAGGCGUUGGACUUGAACUGGAAGGAGCAACCUGGCCUUGGCACGACACUAGGAACGUUUUUGCCCCAGAUAAAAGGUGAAUAAAAAGCAAUCCCAUACUCUACCUGAAUAGUUACUUCCAGCUCUCUUCUCCCUGUCAUCAACUGUAAUUUCCCUACCUAGGCUUUCAGUCCCAAAGGACUUUUUCUACUCUCUAGUAUUAUCUAUUAA